Molecule: ribosomal RNA, 397 nt
Filed under: uncultured bacterium
Lineage: Bacteria
Description: bacterial SSU rRNA
Rfam family: Bacterial small subunit ribosomal RNA
Source: RNAcentral
GACGAACGCUGGCGGCGCGCUUAACACAUGCAAGUCGAGCGAGAACCAGGGCUUCGGCUCUGGGGACAGCGGCGAACGGGUGAGUAACACGUGAGUAAUCUGCCCUCGACACUGGGAUAGCCCGGGGAAACCCGGAUUAAUACCGGAUAGCCUUUCGAGCUCUCGGGCUCGUCAGAAAAGGAUGGCUUCGGCUUUCGGUUGAGGAUGAGCUUGCGGCGGAUUAGCUUGUUGGUGAGGAACGGCUCACCAAGGCGACAAUCCGUAGCUGGUCUGAGAGGACGAUCAGCCACACUGGGACUGAGACACGGCCCAGACUCCUACGGGAGGCAGCAGUGGGGAAUCUUGCGCAAUGAGCGAAAGCUUGACGCAGCGACGCCGCGUGAGGGAAGAAGGCCUU